Molecule: transfer RNA, 74 nt
Filed under: Candidatus Woesebacteria bacterium
Lineage: Bacteria; Candidatus Woeseibacteriota
Description: tRNA-Arg
Rfam family: tRNA
About the family: Transfer RNA (tRNA) molecules are approximately 80 nucleotides in length.
Source: RNAcentral
GCGUCCGUAGCUCAAUUGGACAGAGCGUAUGGCUUCGGACCAUAAGGUUGCGGGUUCAACUCCUGCCGGACGCG